CCUACGGGAGGCAGCAGUGAGGAAUAUUGGUCAAUGGACGAGAGUCUGAACCAGCCAAGUAGCGUGAAGGAUGACUGCCCUAUGGGUUGUAAACUUCUUUUAUAUGGGAAUAAAAUGAUCCACGUGUGGGAUUUUGUAUGUACCAUAUGAAUAAGGAUCGGCUAACUCCGUGCCAGCAGCCGCGGUAAUACGGAGGAUCCGAGCGUUAUCCGGAUUUAUUGGGUUGAAAGGGAGCGUAGGUGGAUUGUUAAGUCAGUUGUGAAAGUUUGCGGCUCAACCGUAAAAUUGCAGUUGAUACUGGCAGUCUUGAGUACAGUAGAGGUGGGCGGAAUUCGUGGUGUAGCGGUGAAAUGCUUAGAUAUCACGAAGAACUCCGAUUGCGAAGGCAGUUCACUGGACUGCAACUGACACUGAGGCUCGAAAGUGUGGGUAUCAAACAGGAUUAGAUACCCCUGUAGUC
RNAcentral lists this ribosomal RNA (460 nucleotides) under uncultured bacterium. Its description in RNAcentral is "partial 16S ribosomal RNA". It matches the Rfam family "Bacterial small subunit ribosomal RNA", at positions 338 to 795 of the family's 1533-position model. The record is from RNAcentral.